RNAcentral lists this ribosomal RNA (468 nucleotides) under uncultured bacterium. RNAcentral describes it as "partial 16S ribosomal RNA". It matches the Rfam family "Bacterial small subunit ribosomal RNA", at positions 28 to 507 of the family's 1533-position model. The record is from RNAcentral.
GACGAACGCUGGCGGCGUGCUUAACACAUGCAAGUCGAACGGAAAGGCCCUGCUUUUGUGGGGUGCUCGAGUGGCGAACGGGUGAGUAACACGUGAGUAACCUGCCCUUGACUUUGGGAUAACUUCAGGAAACUGGGGCUAAUACCGGAUAGGAGCUCCUGCUGCAUGGUGGGGGUUGGAAAGUUUCGGCGGUUGGGGAUGGACUCGCGGCUUAUCAGCUUGUUGGUGGGGUAGUGGCUUACCAAGGCUUUGACGGGUAGCCGGCCUGAGAGGGUGACCGGCCACAUUAGGACUGAGAUACGGCACGGACUCCUACGGGAGGCAGCAGUGGGGAAUAUUGCACAAUGGGCGGAAGCCUGAUGCAGCAACGCAGCGUGCGGGAUGACAGCCUUCGGUUUGUAAACCGCUUUUGCCUGUGACGAAGCGUGAGUGACGGUAAUGGGUAAAGAAGCUCCGGCUAACUACGUG